GGUAGAUGGCCGAGAGAUAGGCGGCAGGCUGUAGUCCUGAUUACAUUGGUUUAAGUCCUUUUUCUAUCA
RNAcentral lists this transfer RNA (69 nucleotides) under Delma butleri. Its description in RNAcentral is "tRNA-Tyr". Lineage: Eukaryota; Metazoa; Chordata; Lepidosauria; Squamata; Pygopodidae. The record is from RNAcentral. RNAcentral also lists the same sequence under 1 other name.